UACGAAGGGGGCUAGCGUUGUUCGGAAUUACUGGGCGUAAAGCGCGUGUAGGCGGGUCUUUAAGUCAGGGGUGAAAUGCCAAGGCUCAACCUUGGAACUGCCUUUGAUACUGGAGAUCUUGAGUCCGGGAGAGGUGAGUGGAACUGCGAGUGUAGAGGUGAAAUUCGUAGAUAUUCGCAAGAACACCAGUGGCGAAGGCGGCUCACUGGCCCGGAACUGACGCUCAGACGCGAAAGCUAGGGUAGCAAACGGG
This 253-nucleotide ribosomal RNA is filed under the name uncultured bacterium. RNAcentral describes it as "partial 16S ribosomal RNA". It matches the Rfam family "Bacterial small subunit ribosomal RNA", at positions 524 to 776 of the family's 1533-position model. The record is from RNAcentral.